UCCAUUCUGGAUUCGAAACAAAUCAAGCAGUUCGACUUCGAACUUCGAUACAGAAGAAUCGAUGUGGCUCUGUGAAGAGCAGAGAUGGCUUCGCGAAGAAUCUCGAUGGAACUCCGAGCGCGAAUCUCUUAUCCGAGAAAUUUCGUCCUUAAAGCCCUGAAUUCAGGAAUUGGAGACUCGUGGCUCAUUGCAAGGUCCCACCGCUGCGGAAGCGAUGGUAAAUAUCUCCUCGCUGUUGUAGGUGUUGAAGAAAAAGGUCGAUUUGAGAAAUAAAACCUGAAUAGCAGAGAGAGGGAUUACUUUUUUGCUGGCUCAUUGUUGAUUCUCAAUACAAGUACAGUUUCUUUAGUGUGUAUUUUGUUUUUACACUAUAGUGAAGCAUCUUCCUCCAGCAA
Molecule: long non-coding RNA, 395 nt
Organism: Impatiens glandulifera
Lineage: Eukaryota; Viridiplantae; Streptophyta; Magnoliopsida; Ericales; Balsaminaceae
Exons: 2
Source: RefSeq, a predicted model, not a curated record